UAAAGUUAUGGUACCGAAGUUA
RNAcentral lists this microRNA (22 nucleotides) under Bombyx mori (domestic silkworm). RNAcentral's name for it is "bmo-miR-9c-3p". Its record names the gene bmo-miR-9c-3p. RNAcentral also lists the same sequence under 2 other names. Lineage: Eukaryota; Metazoa; Arthropoda; Insecta; Lepidoptera; Bombycidae. The record is from miRBase by way of RNAcentral.